CACAGGACUGCUAAAGGCUAUAGCAAGGAAGGGGAUUGAACCCAAGGUGCAAGACGGGAUUGGCUCAUGCCCUAUAGAAUGACCUGGAACUAGGAUCAAAGGAGAGACUGUUGUCUUUGUUCCUACCUUGGAGCAGGAAGCUUCUGGAAGACUAGAACAGCUAAACUCGGUGAUUGUCUUAGGAUGCCUUUAUUUUAGCCUCGCUUCCAUGGAUGCUCAUUUGUGCUUUUCCAAAGUGACGUCUUCCGCCUCUUCCCCCUCUUCCCGCUGAGGACUAACGAAGGUGUCAACACAGAAAAAAACAAAUUCUGCCCUGGAGUGGACAUUUCUGGAACUCUCCGUUACUGACACUUGGAUCUGGGGUAUUAGAUAUCCACUAAAGCAGCUGCUCCAUCUUUAGGAGACUCUGACUAGCAUAGCAAUCAGCCCAGGAAGCUGUUUCUGCCCUUUCAGCAGUUUCCAAGGCACAAGAAUCAACCUGGAGGAGAGACGCAGAGGGAGCUGGAGCCAUGUUAUCCUUCUGGAAGGUGAAAAAGAAGCAGUAUUGGGUCCCAGCAGCAACGACCCCUCUACUGAGGAAGAUGACGAGGAGCCCAAAGUCUGCCGUGUGUGUGGGGACAGGGCAACUGGUUACCACUUCAAUGUCAUGACCUGUGAAGGGUGCAAGGGAUUUUUCAGGUAGAGUCCCCACACCAGGGACCAUCUUUUCACCACUAACCUCAUUGAAACAGAAAGCAACCAGGUUCUGGUCUGGCCAUGCCACAAAUCUAAGAUGUGCCCCCAUCUUUCAAAUGGGGAAAAUCUAUGAAGAUAUAAUGAUAGAUGUGA
Molecule: long non-coding RNA, 828 nt
Organism: Vombatus ursinus (common wombat)
Lineage: Eukaryota; Metazoa; Chordata; Mammalia; Diprotodontia; Vombatidae
Exons: 3
Source: RefSeq, a predicted model, not a curated record